RNAcentral lists this ribosomal RNA (478 nucleotides) under uncultured bacterium. RNAcentral describes it as "partial 16S ribosomal RNA". It matches the Rfam family "Bacterial small subunit ribosomal RNA", at positions 28 to 523 of the family's 1533-position model. The record is from RNAcentral.
GACGAACGCUGGCGGCGUGCUUAACACAUGCAAGUCGAACGGUAAGGCCCUUCGGGGUACACGAGUGGCGAACGGGUGAGUAACACGUGGGUGAUCUGCCCUGCACUUCGGGAUAAGCCUGGGAAACUGGGUCUAAUACCGGAUAGGACUCCGGACUGCAUGGUCUGGGGUGGAAAGCUUUUGCGGUGGGGGAUGGGCCCGCGGCCUAUCAGCUUGUUGGGGGGGUGAUGGCCUACCAAGGCGACGACGGGUAGCCGGCCUGAGAGGGUGACCGGCCAAACUGGGACUGAGAUCCGGCCCAGGCGCCAACGGGAGGCAGCAGUGGGGAAGAUUGCUCAAUGGGCGCAAGCCUGAUGCCGCGACGCCGCGUGAGGGAUGACGGCCUUCGGGUUGUAAACCUCUUUCAGCAUCGACGAAGCGAAAGUGACGGUAGGUGCAGAAGAAGGACCGGCCAACUACGUGCCAGCCGCCGCAGUAA